UAGGGAAUCUUCGGCAAUGGGCGAAAGUCUGACCGAGCAACGCCGCGUGAGUGAAGAAGGUUUUCGGAUCGUAAAACUCUGUUGGUAGAGAAGAACGUUGGUGAGAGUGGAAAGCUCAUCAAGUGACGGUAACUACCCAGAAAGGGACGGCUAACUACGUGCUAG
Molecule: ribosomal RNA, 165 nt
Filed under: uncultured bacterium
Lineage: Bacteria
Description: partial 16S rRNA
Rfam family: Bacterial small subunit ribosomal RNA
Source: RNAcentral